AAUUUAGUGGUUUUCGCCCUAAAAACUUAUUUUAAAUAUAAACCCUAAGAGAAGUUUUUUAAUAAACGAAGUGAAUUGAAAUAUCUUAGUAACUUCAGGAAAAGAAAUCAAAAGAGAUUCUAUAAGUAGCGUGAGUGAAAGUAGAGGAGCCUAUUUAAUAAUAAGUAAAAUGGUUUAGAAACUGUUUGAAUUUAUUGCCUGAUCCCUGUAAGGGAAAGGGCCCGGGGAACCUUCCUCAAAGGCUAAAUAUAAUACAUAAGCGAUAGUGAAUAGUAUCGUGAGAUAAUGAUUAGAAUUAGUAGUUUUAUAAGCAGUUCGAGCUAAAGUGAGAACGUACCUUUUGCAUAAUGGGUCACCAAGUUAACAUUAGAUGCGAGUGAAAGCGUAGGUAAACCAAUCGUUAAAAUAACGAAUAGUGUCUAAAGUUAGACCCGAAGCCUGGUGAUUUUACCAUAAUCAGGAUUAUAAAAGUCCGAACGGGUUAUCGUUGUAAAGAUAUCCGAAGAAUUAUGGUAGGUAGUGAAAGACAACACUGACUAGGAUAGCUGGUUUUCUGCGAAACCUAUAACAGUAGGCAAUUUGAGUAACAUCUUAGCAGGUACAGAAUUUAAUCUCAGACAAGAUGUUCUAAUUUUAGUUCGGCGACGAACUAAAACAACAUGUUGAUUUGUAUAUAUCGGGGGAUCGUGAAGAUUUUAUCGGUGAGUAUGUAGACUCGGAAUGGCAAAGAUGGAUCUUGAAUUAUCAGACAUAGAAUGAUAAGGUUGUAUGUCAAAAGGGAAACAGCCCAGAACAAGAGUUAAGGUUCCAAAAUUAUUAGUUAAGUGAAAUUAAGAAGGUUAUUAUUAAAGUCGACAAGGAGAUGGGCUUAGAAGCAGCCAAAUUUUGAAGACCUCGUAACAGAGCGCUUGUUAAGUUUUAAAAGCAUCGAAAAUUUAACGGAUCUAAACAAUAUACCGACACCUUGUCCAUAUUUUACUAUAUAUAUUAUUGUAAUUUAGUGGGGUAGCAGAACGUUGAAUUAAAUUAGGAUAUUUCUUCUGUGAAGAAAUAUAUAACAAACAAUUCAAGUGAGAAUGGUGACAUGAGUAACGAAUAAGAAGGACAUUUUACCGAAAAAGCCUAGUAAAUCUCUACGUACCAUAAUUAUGGUAAAUAGGGAUUCCCUCCCUUUGGGAGUUACUAGGUACUUGAGUAAGUACUAAAUCCUCCGCCUAAAGCUUAUGGAUGGAAAAAUAUGCCCCUUAAAGUAACGGCCUCUAAGUUAUAAAUCUAAAGGUUUAAACGAUGAGAAAAUCUUUUUUACUAAAUGACAACACUUACAAGUGAUAAGUGUGCUGGAAAAAAUAGUAAUAUAUUUUGUUAAGUAUAUGCAAUAAACUAAAAAGAUGAGUAUAGAAAGAUAAGAUGAAAAAAUAACCGUACCUAGAAACUAAAACAAGUAAGCUAGUAGAGAAUACGAAGGCGUAAAUGAGCUAACAAUCAUAAAGGAACUCGGCAAACUAACUACCGUAACUUCGGGAUAAGGAGAGCUCAUUAGUCCUGAUUAAUAUCGGGUAAAAAGGAAGAAGCAUAAAAUAGUGUUGUACGACUGUUUAAUUAAAACACAGCACUUUGCUAAAAGAUUAAAAAUCGAAGUAUUGAGUGUGAUGUCUGCCCGAUGCCGGCUGGUUAACGAAUUUAACUAAAUUGAUCAAUAAAUUUGGUGUUGAAGGAACCCCCGGUUAAUGGCGGCCUUAACGUGAGGGUCCUAAGGUAGCGAAAUGCCUUGGCCGUUAAAUGCGGUCUUGCAUGAAUGAUGUAACGAUACAACAGCUGUCUCUAUGAUUGACUCAGUGAAAUUGGAAUAACUGUGCAGAUACAGUUUACCUCUAGUUAGACGAGAAGACCCUAUGCAGCUUUACUGUUACUAAUUAUAGGGUAUGAUGAAUUAACUUUCAGAUUAUAAGGUACAUUGAUUCAAUAAAAAUGAAAAUCCUUUAUUUUCACGUCAUACUUCAGAAUUAAUUUUGGAAAUUCACCUGGCUGGAAUGGCGACUUCGUCAUUUAGGCGGGAGUGAAAGAAAAGAUUAACCUAGUCUGACAUAUAAGUAGCCUUAGGUAAGGAAUAUAUUGUUAGGAGACAGUUUAUGUGGGGCACAGACCCCUUAAAGAGUAAAAGGGAGUGUCUAAAAUUUAUUUGUUAUAAAAUUUAUAACGUUGUUUGUGGUUUUAUGUAGUUUUACUAUAUUUAAUCUUAUGAAAUUCACUUUAUCUACCCUUGUUGUAGAUACGGAUGGAUCUAAGGUACGAUUUUCACUAUGGUGAAAGUAGCGGUAUAGAAAAAAAUAUUAUGAAUAACGACGACGUCGCUAUUCUAAUGUUUUUGGAGUUAUUAAGGUGACUGGUCGGAAAAUCUCCUCCCCGCUCUUAAUAAUAAUGAUAAAUACUUGAAAAGCUCAACGGCUAAUUCGUGCCAUACUGUUUGAUUAACAACAAAUCUUACAGUUGCGUAAGCAGGGCAUAGGAUCACAAGAUGCAAAAAGGAAAGAUCUUGGAUUAUUGGAAAAGCUACGCUAGGGAUAACAGGCUAAUUUGCGCAAGAGUGUACAAAAUGAGUGCGCGGUUUGGCACCUCGAUGUCGGCUUAACUUAUCCUCAUGGAUGCAGAAACUAUGUAGGGUACGACUGUUCGUCGAUUAAAAAGUUACAUGAGCUGGGUUAAAUACGUCGUGAGACAGUAUGGUUUCUAUCUUCUAGAGGGAAUUUGAAUAAAAUAAGGAUUAACCUUUGUACGAAAGGAACAGGAAAAACUUAACCCAAAAGGUUAGGUUAUAUUAAUUGUUAACCUCUGGUUUACCUGUUGUUUAUAAGCCCAAUAUUAAUUUAUUCUAAAAAUUUAUGAUUUUUAUAAGGGAUGUUACUUACACUAAAGUAAAUAUAUAUUAUAGGCACGGCAGGAAAGCUAAGUUAGUUAAAGAUAAGUGCUGAAAGCAUAUAGGCACGAAGCUUACCUUAAGAUAUUUCUAAUUCACGUAAUAUACUAUUACGGCAUAAUAUUAUUAUUAUUGCAAUAGGCUUUGUUUGUAAUGAUCUAGAGAUCUUAAGA
Molecule: ribosomal RNA, 3087 nt
Filed under: Colletotrichum fioriniae
Lineage: Eukaryota; Fungi; Ascomycota; Sordariomycetes; Glomerellales; Glomerellaceae
Description: large subunit ribosomal RNA
Rfam family: Bacterial large subunit ribosomal RNA
Source: RNAcentral